GAACUCACUUCAGCAGCACAUAUACUAAAAUUGAAACAGUACAAAGAACAUCAUGGCCCCUGCACAAGGAUGACACACAAAUUUGUGAAGCAUUCCAUAUUAAA
Small nuclear RNA from Capra hircus (goat), 104 nucleotides. The record is from Ensembl. Lineage: Eukaryota; Metazoa; Chordata; Mammalia; Artiodactyla; Bovidae.